UUGAUCUUACUAUGUACGUAU
Molecule: non-coding RNA, 21 nt
Filed under: Caenorhabditis elegans
Lineage: Eukaryota; Metazoa; Nematoda; Chromadorea; Rhabditida; Rhabditidae
Source: RNAcentral